Molecule: long non-coding RNA, 8046 nt
Filed under: Homo sapiens (human)
Lineage: Eukaryota; Metazoa; Chordata; Mammalia; Primates; Hominidae
Description: non-protein coding lnc-GNG5-1:5
Source: RNAcentral
ACUUCCGGGGUCGCAAAGUUUUUGACGCUAGAUGUGUUUUGUGAGUUUUAGCCAUUCAAGAAAAUAGUAAAGCUGAGGCUUGAGGAAACUUUAGGCAGUUUGCCCAGCUGUAUAAAGAGUGAGAUGAUGAGUUUGGGCACUCCUUGCGCAUCUAUGUGCCCAGCCCUCAAAAUAAUGGAACAACAACAAAAACCGUGCCUGGAUUAGUUUACGUUUUACUUGAGGGAAACCUAAAAUGAGCAUACAAAUAAAUUAUGGUGAGCUACAGAGUAAGACAUGGUAUGGAAAAAAAAUAGAACAGGAUAAAAGAAGAUGAAGAGACAUUCAUCUUUUUGAGACGGAGCCUUGCUUUAAUGCCCAGGCUGGAGUGCAGUGGCACGAUCUCCGAUCACUGCAAACUCCUCCUCCUGAGUAGCUGGGACUACAAACACGUGCCACCAUGCCCGGCUAAUUUUUGUAUUUUUGCAGAGAUGGAGUUUCACCAUGUUGGCCAGGCUGGUCUUGUACUCUUGAUUUCAGGUGAUCUGUCCGCCCUGGACUCCCAAAGUACGUUGCAAUUUUAAAUAGGAUUCUCAGAGUAGGCUUCAUUGAAAACGUUACAUUGAGCCAAGGUUUGAAGGAGGUAAUGGGCUAAACUAGUUAUCUGAGGGAAGAGCUGUUAAUCUGAGAAAAGCUGGUUAUCAAGGAGAAAAGCUGUCCUGGCAAAGCAAACAGCCAGCUCCAAUGCUCCUAGUCAGUAGCAAGCCAGGAAAGGCAAGAAGUGUUGAGAUUGGACAGGUGGUGUAGAGUUUUGUAAGGACUUUGGCUUUUAUUUUAUGUGAGAUGAAGAUCUCUUAUAGAAUUUUGAGGAAAAGAAUGGUAUGAUCUUAACAUCUUAAAAGUAUCAGGCUGGUGCAGUGGCCCAUGCCUGUAAUUUUAGCACUUUGGGAGGCCAAGGCAGGAGGAUUGCUUGAGCCUGGGAGUUCAAGACCAGCUUUGGCAACACUGUGAGACCCCAUGUCUACAAAAAGUAAAAAAAUAUAUAUAUCUGUUUGGGCAUGGUGUACAUCUGUGGUCCCAGCUACUCAGGAGGCUGAGGCAGUAGGAUCCAUUGAGCCUGGAAGGCUAGGUUGCAAUGAGCCAUGUUGGUGCCACUGCAUUCCAGCCUGGGUGAGAGGGUGAGACCCUCUCAAAAAAAUAAAUAAAAAUAAAGUAAAAGCGUCAUUCAGAAUCUUCUUUUGAGAAGAGCCUAUGCAGGGGCAGGGUGUGUGGAAGAAGGGAAGAAAUGAUAGUGGCCUGAACCAGGGUAAGUCUUGUGUAGGUGGUUGAGAAGUGAUUCCUCUGGAAGGUAAAGUUACUGAUGGAACUGAAGGGAGGACAUGAAAGAGUCAAGGAUGACUCCAAGACUUUCGACCUGAGUGAUUCAAAGGAUGGAGUUACCAUCAGGUGAAAUGCGGGAAAGUUCAGAUGGAACAAAUCUGAGAGAAAGCUGAGCUCUGGGCCAUAUGGAUCCUUUAAAAGAGACAGAUGCAUGAAGUUUGGAGCAGUGAAUAGGCAAAGGAUUUGCUCUGUACCUGACUGCAUUAUGAAACACCUAUUUGCCUGACCCACCCCUCCUCAGGCUGCACCACCCAGGACACUAUGAAAAUGAAGUUGCAACUGACUGGAAGUCAGCAGUACUACACCGGGUCCAGAUGAACGUAAACCAACAUGGAACCCCAAGGCCAUGCUCUAGAGGGUCAGCUCUGAACCUCCUUGAAAAUGAUGAGGUGGAGUUUGUCCGAACUGGCUAUGGGAAGGAAAUGGUAAAAGUUCUCCAUAUUCAGUGAGAUGGAAAAUAUCACAGCAUUAAAGAGGUGGCAACUUCAGUGCAACUUACUCUAAGUUCCAAAAAAGAUUACCUGCAUGGAGAUAAUUCAGACAUCAUCCCUACAGACACCAUCAAGAACACAGUUCAUGUCUUGGCAAAGUUUAAAGAAAAUGGAGUUAAGCAUGUCCAUGCAUUUAUUCACACUCCCACUGGAACACACUUCUGUGAAGUUGAACAGCUGAGAAGUGGACCCCAAGUCAUUCAUUCUGGAAUCAAAGACCUCAAGGUCUUGAAAACAACACAGUCUGGAUUUGAAGGUUUCAUCAAGGACCAGUUCACUACCCUCCCUGAGGUGAAGGACUGAUGCUUUGCCACCCAAGUGUACUGCAAGUGGCGCUACCACCAGUGCAGGGAUGUGGACUUCAAGGCUACCUGGGACACCAUUCGGGACCUUGUCAUGGAGAAAUCUGCUGGGCCCUAUGACAAAGGUGAAUACUUGACCUCUGUGCAGAAGACCCUCUGUGAUAUCCAGGUGCUCUCCCUGAGCCGAGUUCCUGCGAUAGAAGAUAUGGAAAUCAGCCUGCCAAACAUUCACUACUUCAACAUAGACAUGUCCAAAAUGGGUCUGAUCAACAAGGAAGAGGAAAUUGACUCAUCUCUCAACUAUUGCCAGAAUAAUAAGGCAUUACCAUGCUUGAAGUAACUUUAGUGGAGGACAUACACAUUUUCCUGUUUAGUCUUGCUGCCAUUAGACAAUCCAUAUGGAAAAAUUACUGGUACAGUCAAGAGGAAGUUGUCUUCAAGACUGUGACAUUGUGGCCACCAAUAGGAGUCCACUCUCAGCUGAGGAAUUCCUUAAGUCAUUUGUGAUGCUGGAGAUGAUAGCAUGUAGCCAUGCAAAAUUUCACACUAGUAUAUUGAUUUAUAGUGUUCACUUUCCUCCAAUAUGAAACAGUUUAUUUCUUCUACACCUAGCUCAGCAAGGCAUUCUGUGGAUUACCUUAUUAGUAAUUAUAACAGGCUUUAUGGCUAUAAUUUACUUUAAAAAUGCUGAGCAGUAUUAGAACAGUUAUAAAUCAAUAUUUCUUUUUGGUUAUCUUAUGCCUUCCUAUCUUGGAGAAGCUUUAGAAUCAAUUCAUUAAGAAAAUAAUCAUGAAUUAAUGAGUGUGUCACAUCAAUUAAUUUGUGCACAGGUUUAAGAAACAAAUAUUGUUUUCAUCCUACUGAUGCUUCUAAGUAAUGCAGAAAAUGAAAUAAAAUUAUAUUGAAAAAUAUCACCAUUGUUACUUCAUUUGACUGAAUAUUUGAUUUUAAGAAUGCUCUAGCAUAUGUAUCAUUGAUUAUUUAUUUCCACUCUGAUAGUACUUCUGUGAUCUUAAUGUUUGAUUUUAAACUUUUUCAAUCCUUAGAGAAUAUUUAGUACAUAUGAGGGUACUGAAAAAGAGUAGAAAUUUUCUUUGAAUAAUGCAUCCCUUAUGUGCACAAAACGUCACAUUUAAUAAAUGUUAAGCCAAUAUACAGAUGGGUGGAUGUACAUUUAGAAAGAAGACUAGAGAGUAUAGAUGUGAAAAUAUCAGCAAUGACAAUUUCUGGAUGAUGAGAUUAUGAGUGAUUUUCAUUUUUCACCAUGUACUUUUCUGAAUCUUCCAAAUAUGAACAAUUAUUCCUUUUAUAGCCAGAGAAACAAAUAUAGUUGAUGAUUUAAAGAUGUUUACAGAUUUGAGGGCUGAUUAUAUCAAUUGACUAACACUACCAUUGUAUACAUGUAAUAAAGCUUCACAAAUUACAGCUUUAGAAACCCAUGAUGAAAACUUGUCCACGUUAACAUUCUGGGUAACCUUUUCCAUUUUAAAAAAUCUUCAUUUAAAAAAUAAAAUCAAAUCUCCAUUUUUAAGAAUUGCUUUCAUAUGAGCCCUUAGUAUUAUUUGUUAAUACGGCUUCAUUCACCUUUAUGAUACUGCUACUUAAGGUUGCAUGGUAUAGUGGUUAAUUGCACACUCAUUUAAAUCCUGGCUCCACCUCUCAGUAAAUAUAAGACAAGUUUCUUCAUCUGUAAAAUGGAGGUGAAAAGAGAACCUACCUUAUAGGUCUUUUGAGGAUUAAAUGGGUUAAUGCUUGUAAAGUGCUAUGGUAGUAUUUGGCCUGACACAGAAAUUUCAAUAUACGUGUGUGUUGAAUGUAAUAAAUGUCCUGUCUUCUUUUCGUUUGUUAUUAGGCCCACAUAGAAAAGCUGUCAUUGGCCUCCGGGUCAGGCAAGAGAUGGGAGGUGUUCAGAGCAGCAAACCCUACAAGAUGUUGGAGGCCAUUCACAAGCAAGCGCCUGCUUGGAAAAUAACGUGGGAUAAGAACAAUGAAAUAAUUUGAUGAGGAAAGUGUUGUGCUACAUUGAAUACUCACGUCACAAAAUGUGCUUCUACAUUAUGUAACUUACAUGGUCAAAUGACUGGUACAUUUUAUUCCUGUGCUAAUUUGUCAAUUCUGUUCCAAGAGGAAAGAGUCUAACAUGACUUUUCAAAAACAAAACAAGACAAAACAAAACAAAAACCCCGACUUAAUUAGGCCUUUCUUACUUGAUGUUCUCUUAUUCUUGUAAGUUUUAGAAACACUGUAUUUGCUUCAGAGAAGAAACCCAUGUUAGAGCAGAAUCCUUAGAAAUUGUGGCCCAUUUAUACAUAUGUGCAUUUUGCUUCUCCUUAGCUCUUAGCACAUUUACUGCAAUAGAUUGCAAAUGAGCUAUUGGAUGUUAUAUCCCAGGUAUGUGGCAGGAAAGCCUGUAGUAUGUGAAAUUUUCAAGGACAAAGUUCCUGUUUUGUGAAGGAUGUUUCCUUCUUAGAAUUGUGAACGAUGGGGCUGAAAACCAGCUUUGGGUUUCACCUGUUCCUUUCAGUUCGGCAGACAGGCAGGCAGAACUGAACUGUAAACACUUGUGAGGCAAUUUGUUUUAAAAACACUUCAUGAUUUUGCUAGGAAGCCUCCAGGGAUUCAGUUCCAGUUCUCUGGGAAGCAGAGCUGCCCUUACAACACUCUUCUGUCUCCUCACUCACUCUCUCUGCUUACCCCAACCCUAUCUCAAGUACUUUCAUGGAGGAAUCGUGCAAGUAGUUCCAAGCCCACGUGCUGCCGGGGAGGCAGUUUCCAUGGCAUUCAAUGGAGCAGGCUGUCAUGUGGGGCUUGUGGUUUUGGUAGCCAAGAUUCUGCCUGAGGUUUGUUUCAUAUUCUUUAAAUUUCAUCUCAUAAUUUUCAUAGUGAUAGACUCAGAAAAUAUAUCUCCUUCCUUUUCCUUUUCCUUUUUAGAGUCAGACUUAAGUUCAUACCAUUCCUUAUUUUUAGACACCAAUGUUUUCCCUUUCUUUUUUCUACCCCAAUAUAGAAGCGUAAUAAGUCUUUUGAGGCAGCAUUUUAUUGAUUUGUCAUUGUAACAGAAUUUACCUUCUUCAAUACCGGCAGAUUUUAACUAGAGAAAUUUGAAAUUUUCCUAACCUCUUUAUACUUUGUCCAGAAGGAGCGUUUCCUUUCCUCCGGACUCUGAGCUGUGUGGAGUUGGCCCUUUGCAGUCGCCUUUGCUAGACCUUUACGAGUUCUGCUUUCUUGUCUGAACUCAUGAGGAAGGCAAAGCUUCUUUCCCAAAGAGAUUGACUUGAAGCCUUCUAACCAGACACACACAGGACCUUCCGGCUUCCGCAUACUUGAAACUUAUUCUCUGUAUGUUUCACAGUCUUAGCACUUGUUUCUCUUAGAGCUUAGCUACCUGUCAUUCUUCCAUUUGCCCAGGCUCCCUCUCAGAAAUUCUUAGUUUUGUGGAGCCUAUCAAGACCCUAUUGAGAAUAUGAUGGCUAUGGACCUUCUUCCCAGAAAAAUGCUCAUUCAUGUCUCUACAGGUGCCUCUACCUCUGCUAAGGAAGUAGUUCACACAUUAUCUUUAAAGUAUAAAGGAUUCCAACAGAAAUUUGCCACAUGAGGAAUAUAUUCAAUCAAACUUAGAAAGUAUACUGCUCACCUUUACAUAAGAAAGAAAUAAACGUAGUAUUAGUUUCCUGAGGCUGCCAUAACAAAUUACCAUAAACUUGGUGGUGUAAAACAAUAGAGAUUUAUUCCCUCAUAGUUCUGGAGGCCAGAGUCCAAAAUCAAGGUGUGGGCCGGGUGCUACUUCCAAAGACUCCAGGGGAGAUUCUGUUUCUGCCUCUUCCAGCCUCUCAUGCCUUCAGGGGUUCCUUGACUCACAGCUGCAUCACUCUAGUCUCUGCCUCCAUGGCCGCAUUGCUUCCUCCUUUUUCUGUCUGGCAGGUUUUCCCUGUAUGACUCUUAUAAGGACACUGGUCACUAGAUUUGGGGCCCACCUGGAUAACCUUAAGACAAGAUCCUCAAGAUCCUUAAUGACAUCUGCAAAGAUCUUUUUUCCACGUAAGGUCACAUUUGCAGGUUCUGACAGUGAAGGCAUGGUCUCUGUUUUGAGACCCAUUCAACCCAAUACACAAAGUAAGAGGUCAGUGAGCUGUUUAAGGGCAGCUCUUCUGGUGUAUGUGGAUCUUAGCUAUACAUAAGCUCCUCUUCCCUUCAGAUCUGGGGGAUGGUGCCAUACCCCUCCUGGUUUGAUCACUUGUCACAUAGAUUUUUAUAAAAGGGUAAAGAGCACGGACUUUGGAUGCAGAUAGUACUAAGGUUUAGACUGGGCUCCACCAAUUUCUAGUUGUGUGAUCUCGAGCAAGUAAUCUCUAAGCUUAAGCUCUCUUGUUUAUGAAAUGGGAAUAAUAAUAACCCCUACCUCACAGCACAGGGUAGUGAAGCAUUAACUGAGAUUAGAGCUAGAAUGCCUUUGGCUGCAAGUAACUGAAUACCUAAGAGUGUCUUAAACAGAAAGGACAUCAUGCUUGCUUCAGAAGUUUAAGAAGUAGGCUAUCCCAGGAUGGGAUGGCUAAUUCAGUCAUGGCAUCAGGACUCAGGCUCAUUCCACCCUUUGCCCUGCUAUCCUCAGUAUAUGGUAAUGUUUUCUCUAUGGCCACAAAAUGGGGGAUAAAGCUCCUGUUAAAGAUGCUCUGGUGCCUUCUGCAUGACAAUCUCAGGGUCUUACUGUAUUUUUCAUGGGGAUGCUGACCUGUGAUACUAAGAGUUCCAGGAAGGAGACUCGAAAAUGGGAUUUUGGAGCUGGAUCACCCGCUGGCUCACUAGCAAUGAGCCUUUGUAAUACUGUAAUCACACAAUUGUUAAAACCGUCUGCAGAGGUGAAUUGGGAUAAGAUACUGGAGAAAGGAAUACAUUGGCAGGGGCAAAAUCUCAAAUGCUUGAGAGGUGUGGGGGAAACGGUUAUUAUAAGCACUAUGGAAUUUGAAUGGGUGUCACUGGGGACCAUUAGUAAAGAAAGGCAAUGAAAAAUUGAGGAUGAUUAAUAACUAAUAUAAAGUGAGCAUGAAAGCAAGAGGGCCUCCUUGGCAACAUAUAAAGACAGUAUACAUCUAGAUGGCAGAAAAAGCUUAGGAGACCCAGGUCUUAAUUAUUAGAAUAGCAGAGCUCCAAGGAAAAUUGAAUUCUCCACCCUUGACAGGUCUGUCACACUAAGGUCAGGGUCCAGAUUGAUGCACUUGAAAUCUUGAAUCCUCAGCUUUACCUGAAUUCUCUGUGCCUGCAGAACUGGCCUAUUUCUCCUUGUUAAAAGCUAGCACUGCCCCUCUUGCUUGAAGACAAUGCAGAAGCUUCUGCCUACAAGGAAACACAUGCCUCCUUGUGAUAUAUCCCCACCUCCUGACCACCAGAUCUAUAAAUAGGGUAAGUCACAUCGUACACCAGCUAGACAUAUGCUGGGCUUGUUAAGGAAAGAAGGAGACCACAGGCCAAAAGAGUGGCAAAGGCCCAGCUAAUAUAUAUAAAAGCUGGAAGAUUAUACAUGGGUGCUGGAUAAAGCCCAUCUAAUUUUCAAAUCAAGAAGCAAGAAGAGAAGCAGUUUCCAUUCACAUGGAUGGACAGUUGCAUACAUUUAUGGUCUUGCCCCAGGAUGACAUUAAAUUUUCUAGCCUUUGUAUAUGGGACCACGAUCAUCAGGACAUUCCCUGGGACAUUAAAUUGGUCCAUUAUACCCAUGAGACUAUGUUAAUUGGACUGAAUGACCAAGAAGUGACACUUGUACUCUGGAGAAUGGUAGAUAAACCCAUCAAAGGCCCACCACAUUAGUGACAUUUUUAGCAGUCUGGUGGUCUAGGACAAGGAUUGGUGAAAUCUGUCCCACCACUUGUUUUUGUAAAUAAAGUUUUAUUGGAAUACAGCCA